Molecule: ribosomal RNA, 496 nt
Filed under: uncultured bacterium
Lineage: Bacteria
Description: partial 16S ribosomal RNA
Rfam family: Bacterial small subunit ribosomal RNA
Source: RNAcentral
GAUGAACGCUGGCGGCGUGCCUAAUACAUGCAAGUCGAGCGAACGGACGAGAAGCUUGCUUCUCUGAUGUUAGCGGCGGACGGGUGAGUAACACGUGGAUAACCUACCUAUAAGACUGGGAUAACUUCGGGAAACCGGAGCUAAUACCGGAUAAUAUUUUGAACCGCAUGGUUCAAAAGUGAAAGGCGGUCUUGCUGUCACUUAUAGAUGGAUCCGCGCUGCAUUAGCUAGUUGGUAAGGUAACGGCUUACCAAGGCGACGAUGCAUAGCCGACCUGAGAGGGGAUCGGCCACACUGGAACUGAGACACGGUCCAGACUCCUACGGGAGGCAGCAGUAGGGAAUCUUCCGCAAAGGGCGAAAGCCUGACGGAGCAACGCCGCGUGAGUGAUGAAGGUCUUCGGAUCGUAAAACUCUGUUAUUAGGGAAGAACAUAUGUGUAAGUAACUGUGCACAUCUUGACGGUACCUAAUCAGAAAGCCACGGCUAACUACGUG